GCGUUUAUUUGUGUUGGACCGUACGUACGUGACGGAUUCGGACUGCGUGAUGGUGGCGGAAGCGUUCGGGAAAGUAGCAUAACAUCGUUGUCGGGCAGUCGAUGCGCCAGCACGGUCGCAUGUGUAUAAUUAGUUGUAGUUAUUGUAGUCAAUUUUUUUUCUUUCCUCUUCGCGUUCCGUUCACAACCGUAGUGCGUGUCCGAUCGCAAUAAUAUCGUGUGUAUGGCUCGACAAUGUCGCCGCCACCCGUAGUCCGAUCGUAUUGAUGAGAGCAUCGCGAGAACCGCACACCCGCCCGUAUCCGUCCGUCACCGACGUCCUUUUAACUUCGUAGGCAGUGAGCUAGUUGGUUAGUGAGCGUGUGUGUGUACGCGCGCCAAGUUUCAUUACCAUCGAGUGUAGCUGUAGCUGUAAUAUUAUAAGUAGUGUUGUUGGUGGUGCCGUGCGUCCCGCAGACACGGCCAACAUGGAGUUACGAUUACACAGCCCCGUGGGUGCCGAUCCCGUCGUCUAUAAAUGGCCAAUGAUCAUCGGAAGAGGCUCGGACAAACACGAUGGCGCUUUGGGAAUUAUAGAAACAAUAAAAUGGGUGUGCGACGACUUCCCAGACAUGAAAAUUCCUCUAGAAAAUAACAUACUAUGCGACUACAACACGAAAUCAUAUGACAGCAUGAAGUCUUUGUGCGACAGGUUCAAUAAGGCUAUUGACAGCAUGGUGCAAAUGAAUAAAGGAACUUCUUUACAAAAGUUUAGUAAGAAAGCAUCAAGAGGUCUUCUUCGUCAUAUAAUACAACAAGUAUACAAUGUUUCUGUUACUGACCCUGAUAAACUGAAUCAGUAUGAACCAUUUUCACCUGAAGUGUAUGGAGAAACAUCAUUUGAUCUCAUCUGCCAAAUGAUCGAUCUAAUAAACAUCACAGAAGAUGAUAUAUUUAUUGAUCUUGGAUCUGGUGUGGGCCAAAUAGUUUUACAAAUGGCUGCUACAACUCAGUGUAAAAUGUGUUGGGGUGUUGAAAAAGCUGAUGUACCUUCAUCAUACUCACAAUAUAUGAAUUCUAAUUUUCAAAAAUGGAUGUCUUGGUAUGGUAAACACUAUGGCCAAUAUCAACUUCUGAAAGGAGAUUUUUUGAGUGAAGACCAUAGAGAAAAAAUAACUAAUGCCACAAUUGUAUUUGUGAAUAAUUAUGCAUUUGGACCUCAGGUAGACCAUAUGUUGAAACAAAGAUUUGCUGACCUCAAAGAUGGAGCCAGAAUUGUUUCUUCGAGAUCAUUUUGCCCCCUUAAUUUUCGAAUGUCCGAGCGUAAUUUAAGUGAUAUUGGAACUAUUAUGCAUGUGUCAGCAAUGGAACCUAUUACUGGUUCAGUUUCAUGGACUUGUAACCCUGUUAAGUAUUAUCUACAUGUUAUUGAUCGAACUAAGCUCGAGCGGUAUUUUACUCAAAAUAAGCCUCCCGUUUCAAAAUCAAGGGUCAAUGGAGAAAAACAAAAACCAAUAACAAAUCCUAAUGUUAUUAUUAGUUCAUCUGAUGAUACAGACUCAUUGUUUAGCACUUUAAAUGGUGAUAGUGUUGAUGGGAGUGUUACAGCUCAAGUAUUAGCAACUGAUAAAACUAAAAUAAAUAGUAAUGGACGACGUGCAUGGUCAGAUCUAGGUGGACAAAAUAGCGAGGAAGAAAAUGAAAAUAAUACAGAAAACCACAGUAGGACUACACGAAAAGUAAUGAAGCGUAAUACACCACGUCGCAGUCGUAGUUUUAAAAUCAACCCAACUGCAUUUCAUAACCGAUCUCAUUCUGAGACAACUGCCACUGAGAAAAAGAUAAUUGAAAAAAUUACAAAGGGAAAAAGAGUUAUUUCUACAACUCGUAAACCAAAAUCUAAGCGUAAAGCAUCUAAACGUAAUGUUAAAAUAUCAGCAUCACUGAAUUUGUUACAUAGUGAAACAGUUUUAAGUACAACUCCAGAAGUAUCCAUGAGUAUUAAAGAACCCCCAAAAGGUUGCAUUGAUCAUACUUUGACUUCAAUCACGGGAGUUGGUGCUGGAUAUGCAGCUACCCAUACUGAACUUCCUCCGCCAACUGGAGAUAUACCGUAUUCAUUACAAUUACUUCUGGACGAUUAUAAAGAAGGGUUCAUGAACAUGAUAAAUAUGUUUAAAAAUCAAAAAUUCCGUGAAGAUAUCGAAACACGAAUAAAAGCUGAAAAAGAGAAAAAACAAAAUUUAAACAUGAAAAUUAAUCAAAUCAAAAAACAAGUUGAUCAUUUAAUUACAGACAGUUGUUGUCUUUUAAAGACUCGAAUGAAAGAACUUGAUAUUUAUCCUACUAAUACGACAGGAGAUGUUUUGACUGCAGCUAAAGUAAUUGUAUUACGGCAUAAAGAUUUACAAGCUAAAGUAGCAAAGGUGAAAAAUGAAACUAAUUUAUUGGAAAAUCAAUAUUGGGACUUAUACUAUAAGAGAGCUGCUGAAGUUGAUGCUGUUGGUACUCCUAGUCUUUUAAUAGAAAACGAAAAUGAUAACCCAACAGAUCAAGAAAUAAACACACAACAUUUGUUAAUGACUGAACUUGUGAAAAAUCGAAAAAGAAAACAUACAUUGUCUACAAAUAUUGAAUCAGUCAAAAAUGAAAUUGAUAACUUGGAAAAACAAAAUACAUCAAAUAAAUUAAACAAUAAUGCUUUAACAAAUCAAAUGUGCAAUAGUAAAAAAUCAAGAAUCCGCUCACAAGAUUGGCCAGACGUACCUGAUAUAGCAAGAAUUGAUGAAAAGAACCCAGAAAUUCUGGCUCAAAAAAUAUUGGAAACUGGUAGACAAAUUGAAGCUAGAAAAAUAAUUGAAAAUGGUAGACAUGUUGAAUUAGCGACACGGUAUCAACGCUCAAAUAAAAUCUAUAAUAGAAAUUCAUCAGACACUUCGCUUAAAGUACCUUUCUACGAUGAACAUGUUAAAGAUCUCAUUACUAAUGCUUUAAAUGAGCCUUCAUCUAAAGGACCUGAUUAUACUAUUGUAUCACCUGCCAAAGUUGCAUUGCGUAGACAUUUAUCACAGGAAAAAAUUUCACCUAGUCCAUUGAUGAAGCAGCAAAAUGUCAUAACUAGAACAAUUGGUGAUGUGUUGAAUAAUGAAAUUGAAAGAUGUUUGGAAAUGGAUAGACAUAAUCGAACAUUAGAAAUUAGCAAUCAGUCCAUAAUUAAUGCGGUUGUACCACUCGCCAUGCCUAAUAGAACCAAAGACACCAGUCAAGUUAUUAACCAAACAUUGCCUUCAGAAAAACGUACAUUUAUGUACAUACCAUUACCUAAAGCAGAACUUAAACCAUAUCAAGAGUCAUUAUUCAAUGAUGAUACCCCUCCUCCUCAUUUAACCACUCUUAAAGAAGAACCUGUUGAAGGAUUGGCUGCAUCACUACACGAUAGAUUAUUGGAUAAUGAUGGAGAUGAUAGCAAUGGUGAUGAAGGCUUGUCAUUUAAAGAAGAAAAGACUGAAUCCGAUACACAAUCGCCACACAGAAUACUCAAACGCAGUUCUGAAUCACCUGGUCCAAUGAAUGCCAAAAAAAUGACACCCAUGUCUGACAGACUACCCUCAGAAGAAGGACAUAAUACUCGUACUCUAAAGUAUGUCGCAAGAAGUAUUAUUUAGCUGUAUAAAUAGAAACUUUAGCUGGCCUAAUGGAAUUGGAAUACAUAGUAAAAUAUUAAGAUGAAAAAUGGAAUGAUCGUAUUCGUGAAAGAUUUGAUAGCUUGGUGACAUUUGCAUCUUUAGAAUUGGAUAAACGACGUCG
This 3785-nucleotide unclassified non-coding RNA is filed under the name Sipha flava (yellow sugarcane aphid). RNAcentral describes it as "histone-lysine N-methyltransferase, H3 lysine-79 specific, transcript variant X4". Lineage: Eukaryota; Metazoa; Arthropoda; Insecta; Hemiptera; Aphididae. The record is from RNAcentral.